CGUACCGGAAGCUUUACACAUGCAAGUCGACGGAAUCUUUAGGGAUUUAGUGGCGGACGGGUGAGUAACGCGUGAGAAUCUGGCUUCAGGUCUGGGACAACCACUGGAAACGGUGGCUAAUACCGGAUGUGCCGAGAGGUGAAAGGCUUGCUGCCUGAAGAUGAGCUUGCGUCUGAUUAGCUAGUUGGUGGGGUAAGAGCCUACCAAGGCGACGAUCAGUAGCUGGUCUGAGAGGAUGAUCAGCCACACUGGGACUGAGACACGGCCCAGACUCCUACGGGAGGCAGCAGUGGGGAAUUUUCCGCAAUGGGCGAAAGCCUGACGGAGCAAUACCGCGUGAGGGAGGAAGGCUCUUGGGUUGUAAACCUCUUUUCUCAGGGAAGAAAAAAAUGACGGUACCUGAGGAAUAAGCAUCGGCUAACUCCGUGCCAGCAGCCGCGGUAAUACGGAGGAUGCAAGCGUUAUCCGGAAUGAUUGGGCGUAAAGGGUCCGCAGGUGGCUGUGUAAGUCUGCUGUUAAAUAGUCAUGCUCAACAUGAUAAAGGCAGUGGAAACUACAUAGCUAGAGUGCGUUCGGGGCAGAGGGAAUUCCUGGUGUAGCGGUGAAAUGCGUAGAAAAA
Molecule: ribosomal RNA, 619 nt
Filed under: Anabaena sp. 221
Lineage: Bacteria; Bacillati; Cyanobacteriota; Cyanophyceae; Nostocales; Nostocaceae
Description: bacterial SSU rRNA
Rfam family: Bacterial small subunit ribosomal RNA
Source: RNAcentral